GGGAAUUUUGGACAAUGGGCGCAAGCCUGAUCCAGCAAUGCCGCGUGCAGGAUGAAGGCCUUCGGGUUGUAAACUGCUUUUGUACGGGACGAAAAGGACUUCUCUAAUACAGAGGUGCGAUGACGGUACCGUAAGAAUAAGCACCGGCUAACUACGUGCCAGCAGCCGCGGUAAUACGUAGGGUGCGAGCGUUAAUGGGAAUUACUGGGCGUAAAGCGUGCGCAGGCGGUUAUGUAAGACAGAAGUGAAAUCCCCGGGCUCAACCUGGGAACUGCCUUUGUGACUGCAUGGCUAGAGUGCGGCAGAGGGGGAUGGAAUUCCGCGUGUAGCAGUGAAAUGCGUAGAUAUGCGGAGGAACACCGAUGGCGAAGGCAAUCCCCUGAGCCUGCACUGACGCUCAUGCACGAAAGCGUGGGGAGC
Molecule: ribosomal RNA, 420 nt
Filed under: uncultured bacterium
Lineage: Bacteria
Description: bacterial SSU rRNA
Rfam family: Bacterial small subunit ribosomal RNA
Source: RNAcentral